Long non-coding RNA from Harpia harpyja (harpy eagle), 2502 nucleotides. RefSeq lists it as uncharacterized. The record is from RefSeq and is a predicted model, not a curated record. The transcript is spliced from 4 exons. Lineage: Eukaryota; Metazoa; Chordata; Aves; Accipitriformes; Accipitridae.
GGGCGCGGGGGCCGGCGGUGCCUCGCCCGGGGAGGUAAAGGCGCUGCUAUCUCCCGCCAGCUGAAGAGCGCGGGGAAAGGGAGGUGGGAGGCUGCUUUCAGCGCGAUGUGCAGCCCGGGCAGGACCUGCCUCCGGCGCUUGGGGGGAUCUACAGCGAGAAGCCUAAACACCCGGAAACGAGGGGACCCUGCAACUUCCCACUGCCUCGAACAAGUGCCCGAGCCCAGAAGCGGCUGGGAUUUACCUGGGAUGCGAGACUCGGGGAUCCUCCUUCACGUCCUGGGUCCGUAUGAGAGGCUGCACGUCGGCGGCUGCCCCCAGCCCUCGGAGCGCGCCCGAAGGCUUCACGUCCCUCUUGGCUCGGCUCAGUGCCCAUUUCGUCCAUCUGAAAGAAGCGCAAGGGAAGAGGACAGCCUGUUAGCGCAAGCCUGCGGGGCGGGAGCCAAACCAAAUAGAUUCGAGGGGCGAUAAUCUUUGCCAGCGCCGAGAUUUUUUUUUUUUUUUAAUGUUUCCUGAAAGGGCACGAGGCCUUUAAGGAGCUGUGCAAUUCCCGCAGGGAAUCCGGUCCCUCUGAUCACGGCCGGAGCCCGGCGCGGGGGCGCGGAGGCUCCGCAGCUCCACAAGCGGGGCUGGGCGCUGGCAGGAGGGUGCGCUCCGAUACUCACUUUCUUUUGAACUCUGUCGCUACGUCCACCCUUGCAGCAUCCACCCCGAAGAAAGUCACGGAGCCGAGACAGAGCAGGGCUACGUGAACUAGUUUCAUUCUGGCUGGGCUCCUGGUGGAGGGAAAAGAGAAGAACUGUAAGCAUGGUUGCUAAUAAAAGUCAGUCUUUAACAUCUUUGCUCCGUGGCGCUUCAGAAAUGCAGAGGUCCGGCUUCGCAGGGGGUGCUGGAAGCCAGCACCAGAUGGACUGUUUCUCUACCUACGUGUCGCAAUGCAAAUUCAGCAGAACCGGGGAAAAUGCCCCAGGAGACCUGAGCUCUGGGGCGUCAGGGUCCCCUUCCCGGCGAGGGCUACUCUGGAGGAGGGAAUGAACUGGCGUGUGCGAGAUGUUUCUCUAACAUCUUGCCCCAAGCAAAGUGUUUAAAAAAUCUGGUGAGUAUAGGGGCUGCAGCCCCACAGUUCUUCCCCCGGGAUAAAUAUAUGGCUGCUUACUGGGUCCUUCUGGAGACCUAGGACUUGGUGUCCUCCCAGAGCCACUGCUCUAUGAGCCCCUUCAUCUCCCAUGAGGAGCCAGGCUACUCUGCUGCAACAGAGGGAAUUACACUUUUGAUGGUCUGGAUGAAAGUUCAGUUUACUUUGCAUUAGACUUCAGGUGAGCAAACAAUCUGCUCCACUUCCUCGUUUGUCCUAUAAGAACGUAAGAUUGUUCUAUACGUAAGGGAAGUUAAGGAAGUAAUUACGGAUGACUGACUCCUUUUGCUGUCCAUGCCGGUACACAGCUCUCUUCAAACCCAGAUGAACUGUUACAUGAGUACUUAAGAUGUGCCACUUCUUAUGACAUGCUUUAGAAACAAACCAAGCUUUGGCUAUAUUGGUCAAGAUGGAAGAAGGAGCAAGGCUGUAAAAUGGGCGCCAGUAGUUUUGGGGAAUCAAUAAGUAACAUCUUCCUUUUGAUCUAGCAUUUGUUAGUGCCCUGGGAAAAGUGUUAUGUGAUACUCUCCUGCUAGACGUGCUGGCUUAAAAGAGCAAUGAGACUUAACUAUUGAGAUUUGUUAUUGCAUAUUGAACCUUUUUAUGAGUGCAGAUAAGAUAACUCUAAGGUCCCAUUUCAACUCCAAAUUAGGUUGUUUCAUCGUGUCUCUAAACUGUCCCUCCAGGUUUAGCUGUAUAGAACAUUAUCCCUUGCAUUAUCUUUUGUAAACUGUUGCAUGUCCUGGCUUUGUGCUGUUGAACAGCUGCAGCGUCCCCCUCCAGAAGUUAUGGCGAUGAGCUUUAUCCUUGUCCACCUCACAGGGGUAAUGUGUGGCUUCAUUAAGAUUUGCGUCCCUUUGUUUCUACUUCAGAAAUGCUUUUAAUCAAAAAGCUCAGUGUUUUGAAAACAGCUUUGUGGGUUUCAGUCAUUAAAGUCUACAGGAUCACGAACCAAAAUGCCUAUGCAUAACUUAAGGAAGGUGUUCCUUCUUCUAGCUCCUACCUCAUAUAGGAGGUGACUGACCCCACAGAGUGCAUCUCUCUCAGAGAGUAUAUUCAAUCUUUUCAAUGUAUAUAUUACACGUUUUUCUUUACUCCUAAAGUUAACAAGCAAUUAUUUUAAGUUUAGGUCUUUCUACGUGGCAUCUACUUUGAAACAGUUAACCCACAAAGUUGAUUACUCCAAGGAGAUUUCCACCGCUGCCCUCUGCUGAGAAGGCACAAGUGAGAACACUGUAAUUGAUUGUCGAAGCUUCCCGACCAAUUUGCCUCUGGGUUACCAGCAAGACACUGCAUUGGUGUCCCAGCUAAGAAGGAGGUGUAAGAAUUGCAUGUUUGAAAUAAGAAUGUCUCUGUGAAACUGCUAA